GUGUGUUUCAAAGAUGUUGUAUUCCCAUUAUUACCUCGAAUGAUCUUUGGAAUGUAUUAUAACAUGUCUUUGAUACCAGGCUGUUACAAAAGUGGUUUAUUCCAUGCUUUUUCUAAACAUGUUUUACAUAAAUUAAAUAUUAAGCAAGAUGAAUAUUCUGGAAAGAAAAUUAUAAUUACGUUAUUGUCAAGAGCAACGACUUUCAGACAGAUAUUGAAUGAAAAUGAAGUAA
Molecule: long non-coding RNA, 232 nt
Organism: Centruroides sculpturatus (bark scorpion)
Lineage: Eukaryota; Metazoa; Arthropoda; Arachnida; Scorpiones; Buthidae
Exons: 3
Source: RefSeq, a predicted model, not a curated record